CAUUUUUCGAUUUCACGAGUCACGAAAAACAAAAUUCCAUUUUCACGAUUUUUAGAAACACAGAAGCGUAACAAAGUCUGAAACCAUCUAACACAUACUGACUUUAAUAUUAGAGCCGUUUAAAGGACAAUGGAAAUCAUUGCGAGGCAUUACGAGCAUCGUACGAUGGUUCACGAAUUUUACGAAGAGGUACGAAGGUAUACGAUAACGACGUUUACCGAUGAAACGAA
Paramuricea clavata is the source of this 230-nucleotide non-coding RNA. The record is from the annotation of a GenBank genome assembly. Lineage: Eukaryota; Metazoa; Cnidaria; Anthozoa; Malacalcyonacea; Plexauridae.